This 497-nucleotide ribosomal RNA is filed under the name uncultured bacterium. RNAcentral describes it as "bacterial SSU rRNA". It matches the Rfam family "Bacterial small subunit ribosomal RNA", at positions 24 to 507 of the family's 1533-position model. The record is from RNAcentral.
UCAGGAUGAACGCUAGCGGGCAGGCUUAACACAUGCAAGUCGAGGGGCAGCAUGAGACGGAGAUUCGUCGAAGUCUUGAUGGCGACCGGCGCAAGGGUGCGUAACGCGUGAGCAACUUGCCCGUUUCAGGGGGAUAACCGGUGGAAACGCCGACUAAUACCCCAUAGUAUCAGGUUUAGGCAUCUUUAUCUGAUUAAAGAACUUCGGAAACGGAUAGGCUCGCGUGACAUUAGCUAGAUGGUGGGGUAACGGCCCACCAUGGCGACGAUGUCUAGGGGUUCUGAGAGGAAGGUCCCCCACACUGGAACUGAGACACGGUCCAGACUCCUACGGGAGGCAGCAGUGAGGAAUAUUGGUCAAUGGUCUGACGACUGAACCAGCCAUGCCGCGUGAAGGUGACGGCCCUAUGGGUCUUAAACUUCUUUUGUAAGGGAGCAAUAAGUCUUACGUGUAGGACGAUGAGAGUACCUUACGAAUAAGCAUCGGCUAACUCCGUG